CGCCUGGUAGCCGGGCGCGGGCGCGCCGUACUGCGGCACGGCGGCCGAGCCGUGCGCCGGUGCGGCGUGCUGCGGCGGCAUGCCGGGGGGC
This 91-nucleotide transfer RNA is filed under the name Glycomyces algeriensis. RNAcentral describes it as "tRNA-Ser". The record is from RNAcentral. Lineage: Bacteria; Bacillati; Actinomycetota; Actinomycetes; Glycomycetales; Glycomycetaceae.